This 503-nucleotide ribosomal RNA is filed under the name uncultured bacterium. RNAcentral's name for it is "partial 16S ribosomal RNA". It matches the Rfam family "Bacterial small subunit ribosomal RNA", at positions 30 to 523 of the family's 1533-position model. The record is from RNAcentral.
AUUGAACGCUGGCGGCAGGCUUAACAUAUGCAAGUCGAGCGGGGUGAUGGUGCUUGCACUAUCACUUAGCGGCGGACGGGUGAGUAAUGCUUAGGAAUCUGCCUAUUAGUGGGGGACAACAUCUCGAAAGGGAUUCUAAUACCGCAUACGUCCUACGGGAGAAAGCAGGGGAUCACUUGUGACCUUGCGCUAAUAGAUGAGCCUAAGUCGGAUUAGCUAGUUGGUGGGGUAAAGGCCUACCAAGGCGACGAUCUGUAGCGGGUCUGAGAGGAUGAUCCGCCAAACUGGGAAUGAGACACGGCCCAGACUCCUACGGGAGGAAGCAGUGGGGAAUAUUGGAAAAUGGGGGGAACCCUGAUCCAGCCAUGCCGCGUGUGUGAAGAAGGCCUUAUGGUUGUAAAGCACUUUAAGCGAGGAGGAGGCUCUUUUGGUUAAUACCCAAGAUGAGUGGACGUUACUCGCAGAAUAAGCACCGGCUAACUCUGUGCCAGCCGCCGCCGUAA